GGCAUCCACAGCCUCUGGGCAAAUCUAGUGAUUCUACUCUCUUUCUGUAAGAGUCUCUAUUUUCAAAAGUGAAAUUCAUCCUUCACUGUAAAAGAACUGCAGAACUUCUGUUAUUAAUCUCUUUGGUGAUGACUCAAGAAUUUAUAUAACUUGCUAAGACAAGCUGUGAAGAGAGUCAUCAAUUCACGCUGUCAUUGCUAUUAAUUCCUGAAUUGUGUGAUCAAUCAUGUGAAGAACUGACAAUUGUCCUAUCCCUGCACAGCGUAUUUCUGUUUGCCUCAACACUCAGAUCACUGAAUCCCAAAUGUAUGCAGGUGCCACACGGUGGUGCUCCUGACUCCACGUUGCUCAAAGGUCUGCACUGGCUGGAGGGAGUUAAAGCAGCAAGCCUACCAGAACUGGCUUUGGAAGAAGGGCAAAGAAAGUAAACCAUCCAGUGGAAUGAGGAAUGUACUUUUCUUGCCCAAUUGCUCUACUAAGUCAGAUAUGAAAAGAAUCACAGAAUCACCUUAAGAGAUCAUUGAGUCCAAACUCCCCUGAUAAAGUAGGUACCAAAAAAAUUAUAUAAUGGUAGCUUAUAAAAAUCACAAGUUUUUAUUCUUGUGCCUAUUGUUCCUUUCCCUUUUCUCUAUUUUUUUCUGUCAGUAGAAGAUUCAUCAAGGUUCAUAUUUCAGCAUCCUCCCAGAAACAGGGACAGAUACUUUUCUCUGGGUCAGUCAUGACUGUGAAAAGAAGCAAAGCAGAUGGAGAGGAGAUGCAUCUUUUCCAUGUAAGGAGGGGACCACACAUAAUUAAGAACAGCCAUGGUGGACCCAGGCAGGAGCCCUAUUCUUGGGGGUAGCCAACAGUUUGGCCUAAUGUCAGUUGAAAUAUUCCUUUUUCUUGUGAGUAAAACUUCAUGUUCAUCUAUAUCAAGGCUAUAGUUCAUUGAAAUCAGCAAGAAUGAUUUAAUUGAUUUUUGUGUCUAAUCCUGUAAACUGUAGCAUUCUGAUAGUCAAUGUUUAGCCUUAUUCAUUUAGGAGUUCUGUUCACCUCUCACUGAGAAUUUCUGAAAACCUUACUGAAAAAAUGGAUUGGGCAUUUAGCUAUUAAUGAGAAUCUUGCUUUUAAAUUGUGAGAAGAUAUCUUUUUAAUUAAUCCUCACAGAAAACAAUUGAAUGCUUGACCUACAAGGAUAAUUACUUGUGUUCUGCUUUGAUUAUUUUGUAGAAGUUUUAUUGAAUUUAUACAGCGUACUGCAUAAUAUAUGAUCUAAAAGUGGAGCUCUAUACGACAGUAUAAAGUGGAGAUUUAUACUACAGUAUAAACUUUCUAGAGAACUGACAACCAUGUUGUCUAUAUAAACCAUCAUUCUGUAAUUAGUCUUAGUAUAAUUUUUGUAGGGAUUAUCUUUGCUGUCAUUCUGUGUUGUCUUUUGUAUAUUUUUUC
This 1428-nucleotide long non-coding RNA is filed under the name Phasianus colchicus (ring-necked pheasant). Its description in RNAcentral is "lncRNA (ENSPCLG00000003097.1)". Lineage: Eukaryota; Metazoa; Chordata; Aves; Galliformes; Phasianidae. The record is from RNAcentral.